AUUUGCUCUUUCAAUUUCUUGUUACUUGGCAGUGCAUUUUAAAGGGUGUGAAUUUUUUUUUUCAUUUGGUUGCCAACAACAGUAGGGGAUUUCCUAUCCAUUAACCAGUUGCUUAUUCUAACGAUUACAAACAUAAAGCAAGUAUUUCGCUCAGGUGCUGCCGGAUGGAAGGGUCUCGACUCUUGAGGGUAUUGGGUGCUUCUUGAUCUAGUAGAAUCUAUAUCUGAGCAAAUGAAUUA
RNAcentral lists this unclassified non-coding RNA (239 nucleotides) under Hevea brasiliensis (rubber tree). The record is from RNAcentral. Lineage: Eukaryota; Viridiplantae; Streptophyta; Magnoliopsida; Malpighiales; Euphorbiaceae.